ACUCCUGCGGGAGGCAGCAGUGGGGAAUAUUGCACAAUGGGCGCAAGCCUGAUGCAGCCAUGCCGCGUGUGUGAAGAAGGCCUUCGGGUUGUAAAGCACUUUCAGCGGGGAGGAAGGCGAUACGGUUAAUAACCGUGUUGAUUGACGUUACCCGCAGAAGAAGCACCGGCUAACUCCGUGCCAGCAGCCGCGGUAAUACGGAGGGUGCAAGCGUUAAUCGGAAUUACUGGGCGUAAAGCGCACGCAGGCGGUCUGUCAAGUCGGAUGUGAAAUCCCCGGGCUCAACCUGGGAACUGCAUUCGAAACUGGCAGGCUUGAGUCUUGUAGAGGGGGGUAGAAUUCCAGGUGUAGCGGUGAAAUGCGUAGAGAUCUGGAGGAAUACCGGUGGCGAAGGCGGCCCCCUGGACAAAGACUGACGCUCAGGUGCGAAAGCGUGGGGAGCAAACAGGAUUAGAAACCCCGGUAGUCC
Molecule: ribosomal RNA, 469 nt
Filed under: uncultured organism
Description: partial 16S ribosomal RNA
Rfam family: Bacterial small subunit ribosomal RNA
Source: RNAcentral